UUAAGCUGUCAUCCUGUCACAUGCUACUGCACUUGUACGUGUGGCGUCUCCACAUCCAGCUGAUCAGCACAGAGGGAAGGGGUGCACAGUACAGUACAGUAUAGUAGAGGUUCUGUGUCUUGCUUCACUCAUUCUGUCCUUUAACUCUCCAGAAUGACGCGGCUAAAGGUUUUUUGGAUUCUCCAAGCCCUUCUGGGUUGCACGUUUGGUAGUGAUGUUAUCAAGCCAUUACAACAGGCUGUUCAUGUGGUGGAGGGAGCGUCGGUCUCCCUGUCCUGCAACUACACAGGAGGAACAGGCAGUGAGCUGUACUGGUAUCAACAGCUGCCUGGGUCAAGACCGGAGUUCAUCUUUUUCGUUAUGGAAUCGGGAUUUAACCGGACCGCUGAACAUCCCCUGCCCGGGGCGACUGUUCACAUUGAUAAGGAGGUGAAGCGCGUGGAUAUGAAGAUCUCCAUUGUGGCAGUGUCUCACUCAGCCCUCUACUACUGUGCUCUGAGGCCCACAGUGGCAGGAAGCUGGCAGAGGGAUGACAAAAACCUGACAGGAGAGGGAGGAAUAUAGUGUGUUUUAAAAUGGAUUUGCCAUGUUA
Engraulis encrasicolus (European anchovy) is the source of this 592-nucleotide non-coding RNA. Lineage: Eukaryota; Metazoa; Chordata; Actinopteri; Clupeiformes; Engraulidae. The record is from the annotation of a RefSeq genome assembly.